Small nucleolar RNA from Scylla paramamosain (green mud crab), 74 nucleotides. Lineage: Eukaryota; Metazoa; Arthropoda; Malacostraca; Decapoda; Portunidae. The record is from RefSeq and is a predicted model, not a curated record.
AUACCAUGAUGAUCUUGUUAAUGCGCUGAACCUCCGUGUAGCUUGCAAAACGAGCUUUUUAACACUGAUGCAAC